GAUGAAGAACGCAGUGAAAUGCGAUAAUUAAUGUGAAUUGCAGAAUUCAGUGAAUCAUCGAGUCUUUGAACGCACAUUGCGCCCCCUGGUAUUCCGGGGGGCAUGCCUGUCCGAGCGUCAUUGCUGCCCUCAAGCACGGCUUGUGUGUUGGGCUUCCGUCCCUGGCAACGGGGACGGGCCCAAAAGGCAGUGGCGGCACCAUGUCUGGUCCUCGAGCGUAUGGGGCUUUGUCACCCGCUCCCGUAGGUCCAGCUGGCAGCUAGCCUCGCAACCAAUCUUUUUAACCAGGUUGACCUCGGAUCAGGUAGGGAUACCCGCUGAACUUAAGCAUAUCAAAAGCGGAGGA
This 346-nucleotide unclassified non-coding RNA is filed under the name soil metagenome. Its description in RNAcentral is "partial contains 5.8S ribosomal RNA, internal transcribed spacer 2, and large subunit ribosomal RNA". The stretch from base 1 to 120 matches the Rfam family "5.8S ribosomal RNA", at positions 35 to 154 of the family's 154-position model. The record is from RNAcentral.